Molecule: long non-coding RNA, 258 nt
Organism: Prionailurus viverrinus (fishing cat)
Lineage: Eukaryota; Metazoa; Chordata; Mammalia; Carnivora; Felidae
Exons: 3
Source: RefSeq, a predicted model, not a curated record
AAAUCCAUGUGGAUGGGGCGCCCAGCUGCCUCUGCCUUCCCAGCCAUCUCAGUUGAGGCCCACACCUGCGAGUGAACCCAGCUGAGAACACAGUAAACACAGCCCAAAUUACCAAGUCACAGAACAUUCUAGCAUUGGACAUGAAGAUAGCAGCCUUACCGAAGGGAAAGUCUACCAUUUUAUGAUGAGUCUUCAAAGGCAUCCAAACACAGGUACAGUAAAAUCACUUCUUACCCCUCCAGCCCCCAGCUAGCCACU